Molecule: ribosomal RNA, 253 nt
Filed under: uncultured bacterium
Lineage: Bacteria
Description: partial 16S ribosomal RNA
Rfam family: Bacterial small subunit ribosomal RNA
Source: RNAcentral
GACGAACCGAGCGAACGUUAUUCGGAAUCACUGGGCUUAAAGGGCGCGUAGGCGGGCCAUCAAGUCAGGGGUGAAAGCCCCCAGCUCAACUGGGGAAGUGCCUUUGAUACUGGUGGUCUCGAGGGGGAUAGGGGCGUGCGGAACUUCCGGUGGAGCGGUGAAAUGCGUAGAUAUCGGAAGGAACACCAGUGGCGAAGGCGGCUACCUGGAUUGAUACUGACACUGAGGCGCGAAAGCGUGGGGAGCAAACAGG